GUUCUUCUGUCCUCAUCACCUUCUCAAAAACCCAUCUCCGGGAAAUGAAGACCUUCACUUGUUUCUUUAUCUUGGCUACUUUGCUUCUAUCAGAAUCACUCUCCACUGCGACCCGACCCGAACCCAACUCAUCCAAUGGCAAGCCCACCAACCCGAGAAACAAAGCAGAUGGAAGUGGAAACGAUGCUGGGAUUGGCGGAUUCUUUGGGCCUGGAUCAGGGUUUGGGAUACCCGGGCUUGGAAAAGGACGGGGAAAUGGGAUUAUGGGUGGCGGGUAUGGAGCUGGGUUUGGAGGUCCAAAUGGAGGGUAUUCAAAAGGUGGGAUCAUAAGGCCUACCGUAGUGUGCAAAGAAAGGGGUCCUUGUUACAAGAAAAAGCUCACAUGUCCUGCCAAGUGUUUCACCACCUACAGCCGGUCGGGGAAGGGAUAUGGAGCUGGCGGUGGCAGUGGUAGCUGCACCAUGGACUGUAAGAAGAAGUGUAUUGCUUAUUGUUAGAGGAAGAGGAAAGCGUUGAAGGCGGUGGCCGGUGAUAGUUUCUGCUAUGUAUUAGUAGUAGUAUAGUUGAAGAAUGUUAUCUAGUUUAAUCCUGAGGAUUUAUUUUAUAUAUAAAAAUUAUAUAAUAUAUACACAUAAUUAAAAACUCUUAUGAGUUGCUGUUUUUGAGAUUUAUUUUUCCCGUUUUCUGUUUUUAAUUGAAAGAAACGCAUAGUAUCCAAGUAUUGCUGUUGGGUGUGGCACCUGGCACUGCUGACAGGGUUGGUAUCUUGUGGGUCCACAACUCCACGUUGGAGUUGAUUACAGCCACCUACUCUCAAUAAAUUGUUCUCACCCUUCGGUGUGCUAUAUCUAAUUGUCA
This 858-nucleotide unclassified non-coding RNA is filed under the name Hevea brasiliensis (rubber tree). Lineage: Eukaryota; Viridiplantae; Streptophyta; Magnoliopsida; Malpighiales; Euphorbiaceae. The record is from RNAcentral.